This 439-nucleotide ribosomal RNA is filed under the name uncultured bacterium. RNAcentral's name for it is "bacterial SSU rRNA". It matches the Rfam family "Bacterial small subunit ribosomal RNA", at positions 360 to 793 of the family's 1533-position model. The record is from RNAcentral.
AAUAUUGCACAAUGGGCGCAAGCCUGAUGCAGCCAUGCCGCGUGUAUGAAGAAGGCCUUCGGGUUGUAAAGUACUUUCAGCAGUGAGGAAGGUGGGUAUGUUAAUAGCAUACUCAUUUGACGUUAGCUGCAGAAGAAGCACCGGCUAACUCCGUGCCAGCAGCCGCGGUAAUACGGAGGGUGCGAGCGUUAAUCGGAAUUACUGGGCGUAAAGCGCAUGCAGGUGGUUUGUUAAGUCAGAUGUGAAAGCCCGGGGCUCAACCUCGGAAUUGCAUUUGAAACUGGCAAACUAGAGUACUGUAGAGGGGGUAGAAUUUCAGGUGUAGCGGUGAAAUGCGUAGAGAUCUGAAGGAAUACCGGUGGCGAAGGCGGCCCCCUGGACAGAUACUGACACUCAGAUGCGAAAGCGUGGGGAGCAAACAGGUUUAGAUACCCUGUAG